Non-coding RNA from Hordeum vulgare subsp. vulgare (domesticated barley), 122 nucleotides. The record is from Rfam. Lineage: Eukaryota; Viridiplantae; Streptophyta; Magnoliopsida; Poales; Poaceae.
AUACUACUCCCUCCGUCCGGAAAUGCUUGUCGGAGAAAUGGAUAACAAUGGACGUAUCUAGAACUAAAAUACGUCUAGCAUCCAUUUCUCCGACAAGUAUUUCCGGACAGAGGGAGUAUUUG